Molecule: ribosomal RNA, 580 nt
Filed under: uncultured Sebacina
Lineage: Eukaryota; Fungi; Basidiomycota; Agaricomycetes; Sebacinales; Sebacinaceae
Description: eukaryotic LSU rRNA
Rfam family: 5.8S ribosomal RNA (bases 178-331)
Source: RNAcentral
ACCUGCGGAGGAUCAUUAUUGAUUGAACUGUUGCCUUCUGUGCUGGCCCUGCAAGUGCACGUCGGUGGCUUUCAUCCAAUACCUUGUGAACCUUUGGCCUCUUGCUAGCUUCGGCCGGCAGAGGAUUCUACAAACUCGAAUGUAAUGAAAUCUUGUUGUGCACAAGCACUACUAUACAACUUUCAACAACGGAUCUCUUGGCUCUCGCAUCGAUGAAGAACGCAGCGAAAUGCGAUAAGUAAUGUGAAUUGCAGAAUUCAGUGAAUCAUCGAAUCUUUGAACGCACCUUGCACCCUUUGGUAUUCCGAAGGGUAUGCUCGUUUGAGUGUCAUUGUAUUCUCACACUUCCGAUCUUGGGUUGGGAGCGGUGGACUUGGGUUUGCUGCUUCACCGUGGCUCACCUCAAAUAUGUUAGUGCAGCUCUUGGUUGGACAUAGUACGGCGUGAUAAGUUUUUUCGCCGGUGCCUCGCAAGAGGGUGGCCGAUCGGGAUGUUGUGCUCCAAACCGUCUUCGGACAAUCUCUGACGACUUGACCUCAAAUCGAGUAAGACUACCCGCUGAACUUAAGCAUAUCAAUAA